UUUCAUUUUAUGGAGACAGAAAACAUCGCUUAGAAAGACCAUCAAAUUUGGUGGAGGUAGUCCAACUGAAGAAAGCAUUUCUCUACGUUUUUGCUGUUUACUAACAAAAGGUUUUUAAAGCAGCAGUUACAUGUGGAACAGUGGUUGCAGUGGCGGAUCCAGCCAUUUUAAAAGGGGGCGGUUCCAACUAUAUGUCCCUAUUCAAAUGCAUUGAUCGCCCCCCCCUAAAUCCGCCUCUGAAGUUCCAAACCCCUGACCCCCUCCCCCUGGAUCCGCCACUGGGUUGCCAAUCAGAGAUUUUAAUGUGAGAUUUGAAAAAUCAUGUACGAUUCCUUAUAUGUAUAAAAAUAAUAUACAUGAUAUAAGCUUAUUAUUAUUACACUUGCAUAUAUGAAGAAAAUGUCACAAGAGGGUUUCAUAAGAAAUAAAAAAUAAAAAAUAAAAUCUUCCCACCCGCC
Molecule: long non-coding RNA, 458 nt
Filed under: Mytilus galloprovincialis (Mediterranean mussel)
Lineage: Eukaryota; Metazoa; Mollusca; Bivalvia; Mytilida; Mytilidae
Source: RNAcentral